Molecule: ribosomal RNA, 253 nt
Filed under: uncultured bacterium
Lineage: Bacteria
Description: partial 16S ribosomal RNA
Rfam family: Bacterial small subunit ribosomal RNA
Source: RNAcentral
UACGUAGGGUGCAAACGUUAUUCGGAAUCACUGGGCUUAAAGGGUGCGUAGGCGGCUAUGAAAGUCAGAUGUGAAAUCCCUCGACUCAACCGAGGAACUGCACUUGAAACUGCAUAGCUUGAGGGAGACAGAGGUGAGCGGAACUGAUGGUGGAGCGGUGAAAUGCGUUGAUAUCAUCAGGAACACCGGUGGCGAAAGCGGCUCACUGGGUCUUAUCUGACGCUGAGGCACGAAAGCCAGGGGAGCAAACGGG